Molecule: long non-coding RNA, 1805 nt
Organism: Calypte anna (Anna's hummingbird)
Lineage: Eukaryota; Metazoa; Chordata; Aves; Apodiformes; Trochilidae
Exons: 7
Source: RefSeq, a predicted model, not a curated record
UGGGUACCAUUUUGCCCUGGUGCGGGCGGUACCCGGCCGGGCGCUGCCCGCCCUGCGCCAUUUUGGUCGCCAUCCGGCUUCGGGGAGCCUCAUGCCCGGUUCCCUGAGGCGUAGAGGGCUUAGCCGGUGGCUUCAUGGAAUCGUCCCACGAUAGAAGAGUGGUUUUGGGUUUUUUUCAAGUUACUCUUUAAUGCCCGUAUAGUGCUGUCACGGUUUAACGCUGGGCUGGCAAUUAACAAAAUGGUAUGGCGGAGUGGAAGUUCUCAGUGGUGUCCAAUGCAUUGUACAGAAGCACUAAGCCCUUCAUGGAAACACCAUCAGAAGUAGAAGAAUACUUGGUACACACAAGUGGAUUUUCCUGAAAGCUAUGUUUCUAGAAUGGCAUGAAAAACCUCUAAUGGAUCAGGCAUCCUGAUGAAAGACUUUCUGGCAACUGUAGUAAAACAGAGGGAAAUGGUCAAAAUGGAACAACUGCUAUUUAGCUUGUUCAGCAAUGAGUUGGAACACUUUGUCAUUGCUACCUGACAAAUAUAGAUCAUCUGUAACUGGAAGGAGAUGUAAUGCCUGAAGAGUUUUUGUGGCUUGGAGUGGGAUGUCAUGCUUUUUUAAAGCCUACCAUGGCAGCUGCUGUGAUUUUUGUUUAGCGAAUGCUGCUUUCAGAAAUUGCAUGUGAACCAAAUCACUGUCUCUGCAUAAUUAAAAUAGAAGUUUUCCCAAUACACUGAGCUGCCCUCUGUAGGAAUCAUAGCAGAAAUGGUGGGGAAACAAGUGCUGAAUUUCAAUAUGUGGGAAACUGCCUGAGAGCCCUUUUAAAAUAAUGGUUAUACAAACUUUCUCACAACAAAGAUCUGUAAUUCAGAACAAUGGAAUUCGUAAGUAGGCCCUGCAAAGGAAAAGAAAGCAAAAUGAAUACACAAAUUCAAACCGCAGAGUCUCAUUUUUGAGGGUGGUGUCAUUAGGAGAAAGAAAGAAAUUCAGGUCUCAUGAAGAAAAGUAGUUAUAAAACAGCAAGGUCUAAAGCUUGCAUUGCUGUCUGUACCUAGUAAGGGGUAGGGAAGAACUGGGGUUUUAUGGUCUGCCACUGUAGCAUGAAAAGAAAGGCCCAUACUGCAGUAAUGGAACUGCCCUUUGAGGAAUAUGCUGACAGUUUUGCCAGGUUGCUGUGGGGAAAAGAGGUCAGCAGAAGAAGGGAGUGCAUACAUUGCAUACAACUUGUGCUUUGAGCAGUCACUUGAAAACUAGCAAUACUGUACCACAUCUGCUGUCUUCAGGAAAUUUGCACUCUUCCACAGGGGAAUGAAGGAUCAUAAAUUGGUUGCCAAGUAAAUGGGAUUUUAAUGACAAACUAUUAUGUACAUAAGAUGCAACCUGCCUGUUAAAGUAUGACUCUAAAGCUUAAUUGUCAGGAAUGCUUUACAAAGGGACAAAUGUGAGGAUGGUAUGAUACCUAAAUGAUAGAGCUACAGUUACAGAAUAAUUUCAAAAUGCAACAAAAUCAAGGAAAAUUACCCUGUAGCCUGCAGCAAAGAAGUGGCAGCAUAAGAUGCCAGUAGGUCUCUUCCUUUAGAGUUCAUGGAAUGUGCCUAUUUCUAAAUAACAAAUUGCAUGAAAAGCCUGAUUUUCUGUUGAGCAGUAUAAUGAAGUGCAGAACUAGCAGUAGCAGUGCCUAAGGUGCUGGGAAUGUCAAAAAGGUAUCCAUCUGACCAUUAAAAUGUAAUGUAUAGAUCUGACUGAACUCCAGGCAGAUAUUGGCUCAAUGAGCAUCUCCUAUGCUUUGGUUAUUGUUAAUAAACAAUAAUGAGCUA